AGGAUUGGAUAAAAAUGUCUUGAGUCGAGACACGUAAUGAAGAGUAACAGGGAAAGGACGAGUUUCUGUGUGGAGGUCUGCUUGGAGGCGAUAGAGAGAAAGACCAGGCCGCCAAAGAGAAGAUGAUUCCUUUCUCCCCUUCGCAACAAAAAAGUAGGAAGCAGGAGUUCCCCGUGGCGUGGUGUUCUCGUAGGGAGCAGCUGGGUGGAGCAGCGAAAGGUAGCGGGGCGUUGUUUAGUAAUCGGAUUGCCGGGGACGAGUACGAAAGAAUGGCGAUCGGGGACAAAUGUGUCAGUGGAGUGCGAGGACUGUCACUCCCUGGCCGAGCGUUGGAAUCGAUGAGGAAAUCUUGCGUCUUGCGCUUCGUUUCAUUCUAUAAGGCUUGUUCCCAGAGUGAUGUUCGGGUGUCAUCUUCCCAGCCAAGCACUGUGUUGUCCCCAGACAGGUGUGGACGUGGGCGAGGUCUUCCACGUGUCAUUCAAGGGACGUAAAAUUCCCUAAAGGAUGUUUUCUCCAACACACGAGAGAGAGAAUGGAACUAGACACAAUCCUUGAAGGCCGUCUGCUUUGUAAAGGUUUUCGCUGAAUUUUCAAACCAUAAUUCAGGUGCACGGGACAGUGAUGAAAACACGCUCUGUAUUUCCUGGCCACCUAAGGGUUUCGUUCGUAUUGUGCGGUGACAAAGUAAUCUUGAGAGGCGACCGGAUUGAGUGACACGAGGGGACGGGAGAAGGGAUUGCGGGGCAGGAAGUGAAACUGCUUGAGUCAGAAGAACCGGUUGUCUUCCUCAGCCGGUUCUCGCUGACGGAAUCAGGAAAAUACGUCAGUUUUAUUUUAUCCGUCAUGAAAAUACAGUUGUCUCCUGCCAAACACCUGAAGGCCACACAACACGCAUAACUGAGUGAAAAAAAAAACACAUUCAUUGUCUUUGCUUGUUCUCACAGUGGUCGCCUUUGUCAGCAGCACCACAUACAGUGUACAGGAACAUCUAUGGAGCAUCUACCCGUGACCUCUCUACAUCGGGUCACAUGGGACGAGUUGUACUCAUGGAAGUGUUUAUAUGAGCAAUACCUCCACACCCGCACGCCCACACACUCAGUCUCGCACCUGCACCGUGACUCUCCAACUCUGUGAGCUGCCGGCAAGGGUACAAAACCUCCCAGCUGGAAAAAUGUAAAAAAAAAAAAAAAAAAAAAAAAAAAAUGUACAUA
Long non-coding RNA from Scylla paramamosain (green mud crab), 1211 nucleotides. RefSeq lists it as uncharacterized. NCBI's taxonomy places the organism in Eukaryota, Metazoa, Arthropoda, Malacostraca, Decapoda, Portunidae. The transcript is spliced from 3 exons. The record is from RefSeq and is a predicted model, not a curated record.